GACGAACGCUGGCGGCGUGCUUAACACAUGCAAGUCGAACGCUGAAGCUUGGUGCUUGCACUGGGUGGAUGAGUGGCGAACGGGUGAGUAAUACGUGAGUAACCUGCCCUUGACUCUGGGAUAAGCCUGGGAAACUGGGUCUAAUACUGGAUACGACAUGCCACUGCAUGGUGGUGUGUGGAAAGGGUUUUACUGGUUUUGGAUGGGCUCACGGCCUAUCAGCUUGUUGGUGGGGUAAUGGCCUACCAAGGCGACGACGGGUAGCCGGCCUGAGAGGGUGACCGGCCACACUGGGACUGAGACACGGCCCAGACUCCUACGGGAGGCAGCAGUGGGGAAUAUUGCACAAUGGGCGGAAGCCUGAUGCAGCGACGCCGCGUGAGGGAUAACGGCCUUCGGGUUGUAAACCUCUUUCAGCACGGAAGAAGCGAGAGUGACGGUACGUGCAGAAGAAGCGCCGGCUAACUACGUG
RNAcentral lists this ribosomal RNA (472 nucleotides) under uncultured bacterium. RNAcentral describes it as "partial 16S ribosomal RNA". It matches the Rfam family "Bacterial small subunit ribosomal RNA", at positions 28 to 507 of the family's 1533-position model. The record is from RNAcentral.